This 730-nucleotide long non-coding RNA is filed under the name Coturnix japonica (Japanese quail). RNAcentral describes it as "lncRNA (ENSCJPG00005006360.1)". The record is from RNAcentral. Lineage: Eukaryota; Metazoa; Chordata; Aves; Galliformes; Phasianidae.
GAGCUCCAUUGCAAAGCAUGCACAUUGCACAGCAUCAUGCCUUACACAAUUAUGCGUCUUGCACUAGUGUUUCAUUGCACAAGAGCUCCUGUGCAAACGACUAUGCAACACGUUGCACAAGAGCUCACGUGCAAAUGAGUGUGCAAUGCAUUGCACAAGAGCUCCAUUGCAAAGCAUGCAUACUGCACAGCAUCAUGCCUUACACAAUUAUGCGUCUUGCACUAGUGUUUCAUUGCACAAGAGAUCCUGUGCAAACAAGUGUGCAACACAUUGCACAAGAGCUCCUUUGCAAAGCACAUUGCAUGUCAUGCCUUGCACAACCAUGUGCCUUGCACCAGUGUUUCAUUGCACAAGAGCUCACGUGCAAACGAGUGUGCAAAAGAGCUCCGUUGCAAAGCAUGCACGUCGUGCCUUGCACAACCACUCACCUUGCACUAGUGUUGCAUUGCACAGCUUUGUGCGUUGCACAAGUCCUUCAUUUCACAACGCUGUGUUUUGCACGGCAUUGUGCAUUGCACACCUGCUCCAUUGCAUGAGUGUGCAACACACGGUGCCUUGCAAUGCACAGAUCCUUCAUGAGUGUGCACUGCCUUGCACAAGUGCUCGUGUGCACGAGUCCUUCAUUGCAACGCAGCUUGCACUGCUUUGCACAAGUGCUUUGACACUAUUAUGGGCACCCCAUUAUGGGCAACCUAUUGUGGACCCCAAUACAGGGAUCCCAAUAUGGUGA